ACCUUCCACCUCUUUGGAUUCUCUGCUCUGUUUUUAGAAAUGCAAUUCCAAACAAGAAAGACGUGGAGAAUUACAGAAUCCCUCCAGAUUGCUACUGAUACCUCUCACUCCCCACCUGGAAAAUUAAGGUAAAGAAUGAGAAUGACAGACUGUGUGCCCUACCUGUAUCUACAUGGAAACUUAAAACAAUGGCUGAUGCAAUCUUACUAGGCAAACUGAGGAUACUUAGGUUUCAGAAUAUUCCAUGGAACAGAAAUCCCAACUUUCAACCAGCUCUUCUAUCAAGUACUUCCUCCAGGUUUGUUUUUUUACAGUAGGAGAAUAAAACACACCAUUACUAUAUCA
Molecule: long non-coding RNA, 345 nt
Filed under: Chrysemys picta bellii (western painted turtle)
Lineage: Eukaryota; Metazoa; Chordata; Testudines; Emydidae
Description: lncRNA (ENSCPBG00000025132.1)
Source: RNAcentral